AGUUAAAGAUUUAACACUUAGUGAGAGUGCAGCGUAGGUUAACCUAGAAAUCCCUUCUGCUUUAGAUAAGAGGACUCUGCCUCUUAAAGAUCCCUUUGAAGCCAGCGGUUUAAUUUUUUCUUGGUUUCAGCAAUGACAGGGUCAAAAUUCAGACUGCAUCUUUCUGUGAUGUUUUGGAGAUAACAACACCAAGAAGAUCAACCUGUCCAUUCAAGUUGCAACAGGGAUGUAGGAGAAGGCCCCAGUGUAUGCAAUCUACAAAGCAGAUUUCAAGAUGAAAUACUUAAUAUUGAUCAAAGCCAAAGCAGUGCAGUCGAGCUUCCAAUGAGCUGACCAGACCAGAGUGGACCACCACGUGUGAUAUACUCACAAAUGAUGUACUAUAAGUGUUUUUACCUCCGCCAAGGGCGAGGUAAUGUUUUCAGUCGUGUAUGUAUGUUGUUCUGUCUGUGGACAAAUGAUAG
Long non-coding RNA from Austrofundulus limnaeus, 464 nucleotides. RefSeq lists it as uncharacterized. The record is from RefSeq and is a predicted model, not a curated record. NCBI's taxonomy places the organism in Eukaryota, Metazoa, Chordata, Actinopteri, Cyprinodontiformes, Rivulidae. The transcript is spliced from 3 exons.